AUGGUCCCUGAUUGCGACUCCCAUGCACGGACGCUUCUGCUGAAUCAGUCUGCCUGGGCCCUGGGCAGCUGUAGAGCAUCUACCGGCACCUAGGGCAAAGCAGCCGGACAUACAGACUUAGGGAGCCGAGGUCUCAAGAUCUCCACUUUCAUUCACCUAUUGGAAAGACCCCUACCCUAGAAUGCCCGGAAAUUAACUGGAUGCUAUGUAGUGCAGAGUCAAGGGAACCGAUGUUGUACAUGAGGAACCCAGGGAAAGGAAGGAGUAAAUGGCUUUUACAUGUUCCUAUGAGAGUCCCUGAGAGAAUCAUAUCCCUGCCACCAAGGACCUGAAGAUUCAAAGCCUGGAACUUUGAGGAGAUUCUGGACAUACUAGAGAGAGUCUUUCCAUUGUGUAGAGAUCCUUACCCCAUAUCUGCUGGAAGUUCAGAUUCCAUCAACGAAUGAAG
This is a long non-coding RNA of Rattus rattus (black rat), 448 nucleotides long. RefSeq lists it as uncharacterized. The transcript is spliced from 4 exons. NCBI's taxonomy places the organism in Eukaryota, Metazoa, Chordata, Mammalia, Rodentia, Muridae. The record is from RefSeq and is a predicted model, not a curated record.